AUUGAACGCUGGCGGCAGGCUUAACACAUGCAAGUCGAGCGGGGUGAUGGUGCUUGCACUAUCACUUAGCGGCGGACGGGUGAGUAAUGCUUAGGAAUCUGCCUAUUAGUGGGGGACAACAUCUCGAAAGGGAUGCUAAUACCGCAUACGUCCUACGGGAGAAAGCAGGGGAUCACUUGUGACCUUGCGCUAAUAGAUGAGCCUAAGUCGGAUUAGCUAGUUGGUGGGGUAAAGGCCUACCAAGGCGACGAUCUGUAGCGGGUCUGAGAGGAUGGUCGGCCACACUGGGACAGAGACACGGCCCAGACUCCUACGGGAGGCAGCAGUGGGGAAUAUUGGACAAUGGGGGGAACCCUGAUCCAGCCAUGCCGCGUGUGUGAAGAAGGCCUUAUGGUUGUAAAGCACUUUAAGCGAGGAGGAGGCUCUUUUGGUUAAUACCCAAGAUGAGUGGACGUUACUCGCAGAAUAAGCACCGGCUAACUCUGUGCCAGCCGCCGCAGUAA
This 503-nucleotide ribosomal RNA is filed under the name uncultured bacterium. RNAcentral's name for it is "partial 16S ribosomal RNA". It matches the Rfam family "Bacterial small subunit ribosomal RNA", at positions 30 to 523 of the family's 1533-position model. The record is from RNAcentral.